CUCCUUUUCUUCCCACCAGUAGCAGGGGACACAGAUGGACGUUUCUGUGACAUUAUGGGUACACAAAACACAACCACUUGGCAGAUUGGGAGAUACGGAUCGCUGCCACUGCCCAGCAUCGUGAAUCGCCACAGGGGUAUGUCCAGAUCCGCAGCUCUGCUCUGCAUGUGCCCAGGAUGCUGGAAAGCAUGUACAUCACCGUGAUGAUCAUCUGGAGAGCUGAGAUAAAGCACUGGAGGAGAACAGCUGCAGGGCAGAGUGCAUUCUACAGAGCUGGCCUUGAAUUUCAGAGGAUGGAGAGAGAAGCACAGAAGAGGCAAAGUGUCUCCAUGUCCCUGCAGAGCCCACUAAGUAGACAGACCAGUAUGCACAGUGAAGCUAACAGAGAAACUGGCCCUCAUUCAGGGAAGGGGAGGAUAUGGUUUCCAGCCAAUCAGACUGUCUGUAUUCACAUUCCUGUUAGUUUGAGCACAAAGGGCCCGUGGUUUAUUAUUAGUCAGAAUUAUAACAACUAACAAGCUGUUUGCCUGAAUUAUGUUGCAACACAAUUACACUGGAUCACUUUGUACAGUGCAACAGGUCGGCAUCUACCAACAUGUGAGAAAUAAAUGUAAUUAACAAGGGUGAGAACA
This 632-nucleotide long non-coding RNA is filed under the name Scleropages formosus (Asian bonytongue). RNAcentral's name for it is "lncRNA (ENSSFOG00015027138.1)". Lineage: Eukaryota; Metazoa; Chordata; Actinopteri; Osteoglossiformes; Osteoglossidae. The record is from RNAcentral.